RNAcentral lists this long non-coding RNA (661 nucleotides) under Zonotrichia albicollis (white-throated sparrow). RNAcentral's name for it is "lncRNA (ENSZALG00000011606.1)". Lineage: Eukaryota; Metazoa; Chordata; Aves; Passeriformes; Passerellidae. The record is from RNAcentral.
CUUCUCUUUAGAAAUUAGAAUCUCUAUCCAGCUCAGAGUAGAAGAUGACUUUGAAGUAGACAAAACAACAAAGUAUGGCAGAGAAAAUAUACUUCUAACUAUUGCAGUGAAAACAUGGUUAUAAACAGUAGUGAGGUUCAUUUUCUUUUUUUUCUUCUUUUCAGUUUGGCUGUAAUGAGCAUUGUUUGGAGAUCAUAGGUUGUUUUACUCUCCUGAUGAGUCAAGACAAGAGAGGAGAGCUUCUGAGCUGGGACCUGCAGUAGCUUCCAAGUGUGAGUCAUAGUCACUGGGGUGUCUUUUCUCUGCAUUUUCUGGGAAUCACAGAGUCAAGAAGCCUUGCCACAGACAUCAUCUUUACCAGGAAGUCCUGAUCUAAAACAAGAAAUGACAAAGAUCGAGGGUUCAUCAACCAACAGGAGUGCAGACAACUUCAAAAGUAACUGAGUUUGGAUUGCUGUGAAUACUUGGCUGAGAGGAGACAGGGGUGAUCUCUGCAGUAUUCCUUCAGCCUCACGGAAAAUAUAAUUAAAUGGCUAAAACUUCUGCAAAUUUUCCAAGUCUUAUGGUGAUCCUGGAUCUCUUCUCUGGUACAGGUACCUUGGCCUUCAAGCAUAGUCAGACAAGUGGAAAGAACUGGAAACACCUGGACCAGGCUUGGUGA